This 72-nucleotide transfer RNA is filed under the name Camelus bactrianus (Bactrian camel). It matches the Rfam family "tRNA". From Rfam's summary of the family: Transfer RNA (tRNA) molecules are approximately 80 nucleotides in length. Their secondary structure includes four short double-helical elements and three loops (D, anti-codon, and T loops). The record is from Rfam by way of RNAcentral. RNAcentral also lists the same sequence under 2 other names. Lineage: Eukaryota; Metazoa; Chordata; Mammalia; Artiodactyla; Camelidae.
AAGGGUGUAGCUCAGUGGUAGAGCGCAUGCUUAGCAUGCACGAGGUCCUGGGUUCAGUCCCUAGUACCUCCA